This 510-nucleotide ribosomal RNA is filed under the name uncultured bacterium. RNAcentral's name for it is "bacterial SSU rRNA". It matches the Rfam family "Bacterial small subunit ribosomal RNA", at positions 28 to 512 of the family's 1533-position model. The record is from RNAcentral.
GAUGAACGCUAGCGACAGGCCUAACACAUGCAAGUCGAGGGGCAUCGGGGCGUAGCAAUACGCUGCCGGCGACCGGCGGAUGGGUGAGUAACGCGUAUGCAACCUGCCUUCAGCAGGGGGAUAGCCCGUUGAAAGACGGAUUAAUACCCCGUAACACAGGGGCUCCGCAUGGAGAUUAUUGUUAAAGGGAUACUUCCUUCGGGGGGUAUUCCGGCUGAAGAUGGGCAUGCGUUCCAUUAGGUAGUUGGUUGAGGUAACGGCUCACCAAGCCUACGAUGGAUAGGGGAACUGAGGAGGUUGGUCCCCCACACUGGUACUGAGACACGGACCAGACUCCUACGGGAGGCAGCAGUGAGGAAUAUGGGCAAUGGGCGCAAGCCUGACCCAGCAACGCCGCGUGAGGGAAGAAGGCCCUACGGGUUGUAAACUUCUUUUCUGUUUGAAGAAUAAGCUCGUCGAGACGAGUGAUGCCGGUAGGACAGGAUAAGCAUCGGCUAACUCCGUGCCAGC